Homo sapiens (human) is the source of this 1335-nucleotide RNA transcript. It is a transcript of the gene named RP9 pseudogene, with no coding region annotated. The transcript has 6 exons. The record is from RefSeq and is marked validated. NCBI's taxonomy places the organism in Eukaryota, Metazoa, Chordata, Mammalia, Primates, Hominidae.
ACCGGCGGCUGGGCUCUGGGGCUCUGCGCACUGACUUGGGGCCGGCCGCGGGCAGGCGGGCAUCUGGCGGCCGAGGCCGGGACUUCGGGGCCCCUCCCGGGCGAGUCGCGGGGCGGCGGCGGGAAGGGGCGCCGCACGGAGGAAGUGCCCUCUUGGCCGCAGCCAGAGCCGCGCCGCAGGUGCCGCGAUGUCGUCCUGGCCGGGGCGCGAGGAUGCGAGGGCUGGGGGCGCGUGGUGGCCGCGGGAGCCGCUGGAUCAGGAACUGCAGCGGGCCCGGGAGCAGAAGCGGCGGCGGCACGACGCCCAGCAGCUGCAGCAGCUCAAGCGCCUGGAGUCCUUAAAGGGUCUCACCUGUGGCCAGGAGCGGUGGCUCACGCCUGUAAUCCCAGCACUUUGAGAGGCCGCGGUGGACAGAUCACGAGUUAUGAAAAACCUCCUCCUGGGCUUAUCAAGGUUGGCAUUGCAAAUGGUAUGGUCACCGAACAGGCUACAAAGAAUGCCCUUUCUUUAUCAAAGACAACCAAAAGUUACAACAGUUCAGAGUAGCACAUGAGGAUUUCAUGUAUGACAUCAUACGAGACAAUAAACAACAUGAAAAGAAUGUAAGGAUACAGCAGUUAAAACAGUUACUGGAGGAUUCUACCUCAGGUGAAGAUAGGAGCAGCUCCAGUUCCUCUGAAGGUAAAGAGAAACACAAGAAAAAGAAGAAGAAAGAAAAGCAUAAGAAAAGGAAGAAAGAAAAGAAAAAGAAGAAAAAACGGAAGCACAAAUCUUCCAAGUCAAAUGAGGGUUCUGACUCAGAGUGACAAGGAUGUGACUUGUUCAACAUUCUCUUCUCAAACACUGACCAAGGAACAGAGGAAGAUGCAGUCAGAGAAAGUAGCAGGAUAGAGACGCCGAGAGAGGAGUAUAUGUGGGUCACAGCAGUGAGCUCCCACCCGCCUUGCAGUGAAGAUGUGACCCCAGGAGAGGGAGUGUCUCCUUCCAGGUGCUAGCUCUGGACAGCAGCUGAUUUUAGGCAGGAAAGUUUCUUCAUCGUUGUCCUCCCUGCUGGUCACAUGAGUUUACGAUUCCUUAGAAGUGUCUCCCACAGGGUGGCAGGACUGGGAGAAUCUCUGAGGCGUGUCUUCCAGGCCCUCCCACAGCUUGUGCCCUCCACAGUGUAGACUUGAACACUUGGCCUCAUGUGAUCCUUCCACCUUGGCCUCCCAAAGCAUUGGGAUUACAGGCGAGAGCCACUGGUUGGCUAAAAUAUUUAUAUUUACCUGACAUGAUUUGUUGAUUUGGGGGCUAGGGAGUUCUUAAAACAACAAUAAAAAAUCUUCUGUGGCUGCA